AUGUCAUUAAAAAAAAAACUUAAUAGAAUAGAUUCAGGUCCAACUGUUGAAUUGAUUUCAGGUAUUUAUUUGUUUGUUUUUAAAUUAAUUGGGGUUUCAGCUCAAAAAAGAGAAACUAUUCGCAUAAAACAUGACUGCACAUAUUUUCUGGGUUACGCUUUGACAAAAACUUUUGUAUUAUCCUUAGAACAACUUAAGUUAUUAAACUUUCUUUUCUUUGUAGAACAAAGGAUGGACGCAAGCAACAAUCCGUUUUCUGUCAUUUUGAAAAGAAUGGAGAGCCUUGUAGCAUCAAAUGUUAUCAUGGGAUUGUUUCUUGUUUUCUUUGAGAAGAUGCUGGACUCAGAAUUCUUGUGCCCUUGCUAUGAAGGAAGUGUGUGGAAUACUUUGUUUGUUUCUCUUUAUUUUUUGGGUCCAAUAGUUACAAUCUUUGCUUUAAUCCCCCGUGUGCUUGAAUAUCCAAGCUGUUGUUGCAUUUGCUGUUGUUUAAUUUCCUUACAGACUUUAGUUCCUUCUCUUAUAUGGGUCAUCAUACUCUUGCUUGAUGGCCGAUAUGUAGCUUGUGCAAGGACAAACUGGUCUGGGAUUUAUGAAGCUACAGAUGGUGGUGGACUGAUGAGAUGGUGCAAACCAGACAACAACUCAUUUGAGAGGCUAAGCUAUACCCAGAGAGCGUACACAGUCUCUCAGUGCAGUGGAUUUGGGCUCUGCAUUUGCUUUGGUCUGAUUUUAUCCUGCCGUUACAUAAAGUGAAAUAAAGGAGUCAAGAAGGGAUGGAUUUGGAACCACUUGACCUGAAGAUGGAACCUAUGUCAACAGAUCCGAUCGUUUCUAAAGAAAAAACUGUUCCAAAAAUGAAUUGUAAAUGGUUCUUGCAUCUACUCUGUAGAUUGUCAUCAUGUGGUUAAAAUGAGUGAUACAAAAUUGUAUUUAGCCUCCUGGAAGAUCAAUCAAGUAGUGUAUGUUUGCUGUUCAAAAUAUAAUUGUUUUUUUCGAUUUAAUCCAUGAUUAAUGCUUGGUAUGUAAAAAGACUGUCAGUAAGCUACUUUGAAGAAAAACUGGGAAUUAUGCAGAUAUUAAAAAUAUCCUUUUGCUGACAAUGUUCAAUAAAUACAUUCAAUAAAUGUUCAUGUUCAAUAAAUAAGAUCAUAUCCAAAUAGUGUUUACAUUAUUCAAUUUAACACACAAAGUACUAAAUUUAA
This 1202-nucleotide long non-coding RNA is filed under the name Oryzias sinensis (Chinese medaka). Its description in RNAcentral is "lncRNA (ENSOSIG00000020293.1)". The record is from RNAcentral. Lineage: Eukaryota; Metazoa; Chordata; Actinopteri; Beloniformes; Adrianichthyidae.